Peromyscus maniculatus bairdii (prairie deer mouse) is the source of this 161-nucleotide small nuclear RNA. Its record names the gene U1. It matches the Rfam family "U1 spliceosomal RNA". Rfam says of the family: U1 is a small nuclear RNA (snRNA) component of the spliceosome (involved in pre-mRNA splicing). The record is from Ensembl. NCBI's taxonomy places the organism in Eukaryota, Metazoa, Chordata, Mammalia, Rodentia, Cricetidae.
AUACUUACCUGGCAGGGGACACCAUGAUCACGAAGGUGGUUUUCCCAGGGCGAGCUCUUCCACCACACUUCGGAUGUGCUGACCCCUGCGAUUUCCCCAAAUGGGGGAAACUUGCCUGCACAGUUUGUGGAAGUGGGGGACUGCAUCCAUGCUCUCCCCUG